CCUUCUUAAUCUGAGGAGAAGAAAGAAAAAAGAAAAAGCAGUGUUUUUGGCGUUUGUUUAUCCCUGUCUUUUCUCUUUCCAUCAUUGAGGAAGAGCUUCAUCUUGAUUGAAUAAGAAACUCGUCAUACAUCCAUGGACGAUUCGGGAAACCCAAGCAGGAGUCUAAUCUUAAUGAGAUAUAUAUGAAGGCUAGGAGGAUUUAAGGAUCCGAGCUCGGAAGCAGCUAUGAAACACGGCAAAGCUUAUGCGGAUGAAGGCGAAGGAGAGAUGGUGGAGAAGCUAAGUGGAGCUGUUACUUCUUGUCUCGCUGGUACGACCGAGGAAGUGAGGCAAAAGGCUACACAGUCUCUUCACAGUCACUUGGCUCCAUCGUUGAGCUAAAGAAUCAGAUCUGAGGAAGAAGUUGACUAAAUAGAUCGAAGAUGUUUAAGCAGAUACUUGGGAAGCUUCCAAAGAAACCUUCUGCCAAGUUUUGGGAUAAUGGUGAAUCCCAAACUGCAGAUAACAACAAUAAUCAAGGAGGAUGUGAUGAAGCUUUGAGUCAGAGAUCAUCAUCAAAGGGAGAUUACACUGAUUGUGUUUCUUUUGAUGUGUUGCCAAGGUUGAGAGAUGCAUCAAUAUCUGAGAAGCAAGAACUGUUUCUUUGCUGUGUAGUGUUUGAAUUCGCCGUGGAGCCAACCAAAAACCUCAAAGAGAAAGAGAUCAAAAGGCAAACACUUCUUGAAGUUGUGGAUUAUGUUAUCACUUUUUUAAUUUAUUGUACUAUUAUAAUUUCAAAAAUAAUAAAUUUAAAUUAAGGACCAUAAUUUUAGAUACUACAAAUGAACCAUAAAAAUAGAAAGUUUCUUAAGAAGUUUGUUAACUUCACU
Molecule: long non-coding RNA, 869 nt
Organism: Camelina sativa (false flax)
Lineage: Eukaryota; Viridiplantae; Streptophyta; Magnoliopsida; Brassicales; Brassicaceae
Source: RefSeq, a predicted model, not a curated record